UACGUAGGGACCAAGCGUUGUUCGGAUUUACUGGGCGUAAAGGGCGCGUAGGCGGCAUGUUAAGUCAGCUGUGAAAUCUCCGAGCUUAACUCGGAACUGUCAGCUGAUACUGAUGUGCUAGGGUGCAGAAGGGGCAAUCGGAAUUCUUGGUGUAGCGGUGAAAUGCGUAGAUAUCAAGAGGAACACCUGAGGUGAAGACGGGUUGCUGGGCUGACACUGACGCUGAGGCGCGAAAGCCAGGGGAGCAAACGGG
This 253-nucleotide ribosomal RNA is filed under the name uncultured bacterium. RNAcentral's name for it is "partial 16S ribosomal RNA". It matches the Rfam family "Bacterial small subunit ribosomal RNA", at positions 524 to 776 of the family's 1533-position model. The record is from RNAcentral.